AUGUCUCAAAUGUCCACUUGCAGUUCUCCACCCCCAAAUGGUAUUAAUUGUGACAUAAAUUGUGUUUGCCAAAUGAUAAUGACAUCAACAAAUUUACUAAUAGGUAGCAAGUUGUUCCACCAACAGAGAAGAGAAAACAUGAAGGUAGAAACAUAUUUUCACCUGAAACUUCUUUUACAAAUGAAAAGGCUAAUUGAAAUUAUGCACUGCAUUGGCCAAGAACUUUAAAACCUGGAUGCUGUAUACUACUUUUGGAUUUUCAGAAAAAUUAAAAGCCUAACAGGUAAGGAUAUGUUGAAAUAGUCUCACCCUAAUGCCUUCACACUUAGGUUAUCCUGCUGAUGCUGUCAGUUACUUAAGGACUUAAUAGAAACCGGAUGUGCUGCCCUUUUUCUGGCUUCCUCUAACCUGUGUCCUAAAGCAGCUACUUGGCAGAGAUAAUUGAUUAACCCUUUCUUUCCCUUUGACCCUCACAUUCUGAUCCUGCUCAUUCUACUUUCUAGACAUUUAUUGAUUCCCUUCCCUCUUUACUAUUUCUACUGCCAUUUCCAUUUUCUUAAUCAGAAUCUCACCUUAAUGACACAGUAGAUGGAGUCUUCCUGCCUCUCCACACACUUCCCUCCAAUAAAAUCUCUUCUUGCUUCCAGAGCGAUCUUUUCAACAAGAAAAGUCUGAUCUAUAUCUCCCCCUUCAUUAAAUUCCAUGCUUAGUCUCUUUCUGCCCUCAAAAUAAGACCUAAACACAUAACUUUACACAGGACCUUCCACUAUCUGGUUUUGGCUUUCACUCUAGAUUAAUCUCCUGACGCUCUUGUGUCAAGCUUUGUAUUAGAUGCCUAUUGAUGUUAUAAGUCCCUGCUCUAUGCUACAAUGAAAUCCCAAGCUGGAGAUAUGUUGUAAACACCUUCUAAAUAUUCUCCUUUUUAUGAAUAAUUCAUCUACAUAUUUCAAGACUAAACAAAGAUAUGUAUAUCCAAGGAUGACUCCUUAUCUGUUCUUCCAGACUUUGGCAAGUGUCUUUCACCCUGUGAAUAUCUGUAUCACUGCAUUAAACACUAUAAAAGAGUGGCUCGUACCUUGUGUGUUUCCUUCACUAGCUGGUAUAGUCUUCAG
RNAcentral lists this long non-coding RNA (1112 nucleotides) under Macaca mulatta (Rhesus monkey). RNAcentral's name for it is "lncRNA (ENSMMUG00000058814.1)". The record is from RNAcentral. Lineage: Eukaryota; Metazoa; Chordata; Mammalia; Primates; Cercopithecidae.